AAAAUAAAAAUUUAAUUAAUACAUAAGAUUGAUCUGUUGCAUGCCUACACUAGUUGUAGAAUUAUUCUAGUAAUUGUCUAGAAUAGAUUUUAUAUUGAAUAGUUUAAUUUAAAUCUUAUUUUUUAGAUAUUAUAUGUGAUAUAUCAGAUCUGAAAGCAAGAUAAUUAGAUCAGAUUUUAAUAUAUAUGAUGUAUGCAAAGCAUGUAUAAGUUAGAUCUGAAAUUAUAUAUGUGAUAUGUAACUUAGAUCUAACUAGUUUUGUAGUUAAAUUAAUAUUUCUGAUUAAGGUAUUCCUCAUGGCCGUCUGAUCAUAAGAACAAAGUAGGAUUUAAGAUCCUCUCCUCUCCUUCAAUGGGGUGUUCUUAUAGCGUGUAGGGGUACUGCGCGUUCAUCCUUAAUCAAAAAUUAAAAUUUAUUUUUCUGCAAAAUCCUAGAUCCUAAAAUCCUAUGAUUUAUUUUACAUAUUUUGUUUAUAAACCUAAGACUUAAUUAAUGAAUUAAGCUUAUGAAAUUAAAUUAGGUCUAAAAUUGAAAAUUUCAGAUCUAAGUCAUUUUCAUAAAAUUGGGUUCGGGCUUGGAUAGCUCAAUUAGGUAUAGCGGUUGAUCAAACCGACUCAAAAGUUGAUUAGGUGGG
Molecule: long non-coding RNA, 634 nt
Filed under: Elaeis guineensis (African oil palm)
Lineage: Eukaryota; Viridiplantae; Streptophyta; Magnoliopsida; Arecales; Arecaceae
Description: long non-coding RNA (EGUI_LNC067922)
Source: RNAcentral